This is a long non-coding RNA of Dreissena polymorpha, 812 nucleotides long. RefSeq lists it as uncharacterized. Lineage: Eukaryota; Metazoa; Mollusca; Bivalvia; Myida; Dreissenidae. The transcript is spliced from 2 exons. The record is from RefSeq and is a predicted model, not a curated record.
CAAUAAACAAUAUGCAACAUUAAAUUUCGAAAUGCGCAUGUAAUAGGUUUUCAUUUUAACAGUAUCUGUUUUAUUGCAUGCGUGCAUACACAAUUCCGAAAAUAUGGCAUACCUGUUUUGCUGUUUUGCAUUUAUUUGUUCAGUUUCUAUCGUGAUUUGCGGCGGGUUUCCGCUAACAACGCCGGAACCCAGUCACGGAAGGAAAGCAAAUUCGAUGUGCAAAUGUUGCUUUACCAACAGUGUCAUGCCACAGGAGCCCAAUUUUUCAAGCCCAAUUAUUCUCAAGAGAAACAAUGGAGAGCGUUCGAAUGGUCCACCUGAUAAACCUUCCAUGCGUGUCACACCAAUUGAUGAUACGUAUUUUAAUAAUGAUUGCAUUAGUUGUGACGAUACGGUACCCGGCUUAGACCUCAACCAGGUUAAUAAUCCAAAGCAAAAAGAUGUAGAAGACAAUGUAUUCAGGAAUAAGGUUACAGAGAUCAGCGAAGAGCUUCUGGUGCUGAGACAAUUACUAAAUAAAUUAAACGAUGACAUGGAUAAAGAAAUAGCUACGGUCAACACCGAGUCAAGAAAUACGAAAAAAACGGUCUACGAAUCUAAUGCAACGAACGUCUUGGGUGAAAACAUAAACAUGUAUGAAAAAGGAAGGAGGCAGAAACAUACUAACAAAGUCCGCACUGAGCGAGUUCGAAAAAAGAACGUUUAGCAGUCAACAGCUUUUAUCGAACGUUUACGUCGAAAUAAUUUAUGAAAUAUAAUGGUAUAAAAGUAUACAUAUUAUAUUAGUUAAUAAAAAAUAUCUUACGAUCAAA